CCCAUCUCUGUGAGGGCCCAGCCCCUAGCUCCACCAGAAUGGGUGGAAAUGGGAUGUCCAGGUACGAGGUUGUGAUCCCUGCUGCUGUUGGGGAUGUUUCCAAAUGCAGAUGUUUUCAGAUGCAGGCAGCCUCUGGGACUGCUUUCAUCUCCAGAAGCUUGUGAGGUUGGUCCAGGCUGGUGCUGAGUGGGCAGUGCAGACCACCACUCUGGGGGCCCAUCGCAGACCUGUGCAUCCUGCCCACCCCACAGACGCGGCAGUGAUUUCUGUGGUUCUGAACUGGGUCGGGGCCGGCAGAGAACAGAGCGCGUGUGACCCCAGCAUGUAUGGAGUUUUGCAGCAGGACACCAGGCCAGGCCUGUUGGGAGAUGGGCGUGUGGCAUCUUGCACCCUGUGUGGGGCUGAUGCUGUGUCCCCUGAGACUUCAGAGCUGGAGACCACUGUCCCCAGUACAUGGAAUCACUGGGGCUGCUGAGAAACAAGUGAGGAAUAGCUUUUAUCUUUACUCCCACUUCCCUCCGAGCCUGCCCUGGGGGCUAGUUCUUUCCCAGCCCAGAUGACCCUUCAGGAAGGUCCUGGAGCUUUCUGUUAUCCUGGGGCAGUACAAUGUGCUCCAGUGAACAGUCCCAAGAACAGUCUCAUUUCAAGAAGAAAAGUGAGUCAUUGUGGGCUCUCUGGAGUUUUGCCUGCCUGGUGGGAGCCCAACCCACCCUGGGAGUGGGCAGUGGAAGGAACGCCCUGUGUGUCUCUUUUCCCCUCUCUUGCCUCUGUCCCCAUGCCGUUGGUCCCUGAGGGAUAGAGCAUCUGGGUAAAGGGUGGUCUUGCCGCUCCAGCUGGCUGGCACUCCCCAGGGGCCAGCAGUCAGUAACUCUGCCAUUGUCCGGUCCAGGGCACUUCUGUGGGUCUCUCAGAGAUGCUGCAUCUGGGAACUUGUGACUCAUCCUGUGACCUAGGGGACACCUCACUGGGCUGGCUUCUGGCUCCCAGGCCCCUGGACAGUCCCUGUCUCCCACCCCCGGGCCACAGGCCACUCCUCCUCCCUCUCAGGGGUGACUCUGGCCUUGCUUCCAGCCAUAGAUUCUUAUGAGAUCAGGUGCCAGUCCCUAGUCCCCAGUCCCCAGCUGUGCUGUCCAAGGGGCUAGAAACUGUGCCCUGCAGGCAGGACAGGAGUCACCUGCCCCUCCUGGUGGAGCACAGGAAGCCCCCAGGCCUUUCUUCUGGUCUUCUGUGGGAAGGCAGGCCUGGGUGGGGAGCCUCUGCAGUGUUGGACCUGGGCCUGCUGGCCACUGAUGCUGGCCCCAGGUGGCAGGAUGGGGCACCCUGAACAUCCUGUUCCCUGGCUCCUGGUGGGUCUUUAUGGAGCUUCUGGACUUUGGAGGCGGCCCAGGAAUGGGGGGGCACAGGGGCUGGGGAGCCAGCUGGGGAGUCAGAGGGUGCCUUGCGCCUCUGUCCUGAGAAGUGGGGCUGACCCCCUGGUCCUUGACCUCCUUGCGUUCUUGUCCAAGGGUCCACAUUGUCCCCACACUGUCAGCACAGCAGUGUUGCUGCUUCAGGAGGUGGCCGGAGAGACACUCCCGCCUUGCAGAGCUGGGCAAAUAAUGACCGUUCCUAGAGUUUGUUGAGGGAGCAUCACGCCUUUCAGGAGUUGUUCUGUGAGGGUCCAGAGUGGUCAUUUUCCUGAGUUCAGUGAUAUCUAAGGGUUAAUUGGAAUGUCGUUGUCUAUGUUGGGUUUGGAGAUGGGAAGGCUUCGUGUUUAUUCAAAUUAGCAGUAAUAUAAAAUUACAAUUUUAGUCUUAAUUGUAUGUAUUUGGGGAUCCCAUUUAAGUCUCUGGAAAUAAUUGCAGGGUAAUAUUUUAGGAAGUUAUACUGAAAAGAACAGAUGUUGCCUGGGCCCUGGUGGAGAGGGUGUCCAGGGCAGUAGGUCUACGCCCCCCUCCCCGCCUGGCUCUGGGCACGGUGCCGGCAGGGGCCCUCUGAGCUUAGCAUGAGCUGCACCCGGGCUUUAUGACACUCUCCAUCCCUCAGGGCAGUAAGAGAUGUGCUUUGGCUUCUCACAGGGGCCUGUGGCAGGAAGAACAGGGUUCCCUGGUGGUAGGAUGGUAGACAUCCCAAAAGAGGUGCCCACCAGCUUGGGGUCCAUCCAGCUUUGUCUGCUCUGUAGACCCGGUUGAAGGCCGAUGGUCUCUCAUGUGCUUAUGUGGGCCCAGCCUUGACUGUGGGUCUUUUUGUUGUUGGGGCUCGUGGUAGUUCUGAGCUGUGACUUGUCAGUCUCAAUGCUUUAUCCCCAGAGGCAUCCCCUGAGCCACAGAAGAUGGUCACAGCUGCUUGACUGCCCCAGACUGCACCUGGUAGCUGGGCUGCUGAGAGCUGUCCAGUCAUAGCUUUCUGAUCAGAGAGUGAGGCCAGAACAAGAAAAAUAAAAAUGUUAAGCAGAGUGCACUGACCUGUGGUCUAUGCUCUAUGAAAUAGAAUCUUGCCAUGUUAAUAUCAUUUAGGAUUUUAAAUCUGGCUCCAAAGUAACAGUAUCUUUAACAAGAAAGAAGUGUGAAUGUCACUUACAAGAAGCCCAGCAGUGGGCAGUUUUGUAGGAUCGCUGAAGACAGUGACCUCUGGUAUCUUUUUACUCCUUUUUCUUACCAGAUGGCUUUCAUUGCAAAGCAUCUUAUGGUCCAAGAGGGCUACUGGGGCUGCAGCCAUCAGGCUUGUGUUCCAGGCAACAGAAGGAAGGGUGAGCAAAUGGGGCUAGUUAUAUCGCCCCAACUACCUGAACAGAAUGAAGUGUCAUUCACCUUAAAAAUCCAAGUUCUGUUCCUAAGAAGUGGAGAUGGGUGCAAGCAGGCAAGUCCCUACCAGGGCAGCCCUCCCAGGAAUGCCUGCCCUGCUGCCCUGCUCAGCCCUGGGGUAAGUCGGCCUGUUUGCUUGGUAUCCUUUCUUCCCCUCCUCUUUCCUAGGCAUGUCCUAGGCAGCGGUGGUCCCAGAUGAAUGUAACAAAGGGGAAUCACUGACCUCAUGGGCUUGACCCACGCCAACCUGCUGCCUGGACACUGCCCUUGUUGGUCUGCGGGCAUCCCUGACAUGAGAGCAGGUGACAGGAGGCAGGCCUCUGAACAGCAGUGGAGGCUGAAGACAGGGGUGUGACCUGCUUGUCGCAAUGACCAGCUGCUCACAAAGUGAGGUCUUCACAGGCCGUGAUGGGCAUUGAAUGGACACUUGGGGUCUAUGCCCCAUCUUCCCCCCAAAAGGCUGUAUUGAAAUGAAGAGGGACUCAGUUCUCCAACCCCGUGUUUCUUGAACUUGUAUGUUGGUUGAUAUUUCCCUAGAUCCAGGUCUCCUUAAGGGGAACCAGAGCCCUGUAUGGCAGCCCAUACCCUUGGGGCCUCUGCUAUCUGACAUGACCCGUGGCCCUGCUGCCCUGCUCUCCCUCCCAGCCCCACCUUUCUUUCCCUGUGUGCUCUGGCAGGUGCGGUAUGAACGGCACCCAGCUCUGUCUGCCGUGGGCUGUCUUACCUGUGCAGUUGAGGUGGGAACCUGCAGCUUGGGUUCCAGGCAAGUGGCUUUGAAAUCAUCCCUGUGGGUUUCUAGGGCCAGCAAAGCUGAGGGCCACUGAGGGACCCCCUGUGGGCACAGGCAGAGGCUGUUCUGGGGCUUAGUGCCAGAGGGUCCGCAGUGGGGGUGGAGGCCAGAGGAGGAUGAAGGCCAAGGUUGCCAUGCAGGUUCUAGAGGGCGGAGCUGGGGUGGAGUUGUGGGAGGAGGGUGGCCAGCAGGGCUCACCUCAGCCUCUAUCCGGCUCAGGAUGGAAGGGUAGGUGCAGGGUGUGGACAGUCCAGUCUUGCAUGGGAGACUCUGCUGGUCUCAGCUGAGGUUACAAGGAGGGAGUCGGGGCAGGAGCCAACAAGCCUAUUCCUAAUUAAGGUCUCCUUCUUAUCCAAGAGAAGGAGUGGGUCAUUUCUGUUUAGUUGAGUUUGAUCGUGGGUUAGAUCGUGCUCUUAAGCGCCAUUAAUUCACAUUGAGCAUGGCUCUAUUAACCCCCAGGUGACCAGGCAGAAACCCUGGAUCCCAGACCAGAAUGUGAGCUGUCCACAUGCAUUCAGGUCAUUUGGAAGGUGUUGGUAUUGUUCUUUUGUCUGUUUAUUUGAUUGCUUGUAGAGAAAUGAAGACUUUUGGCCCAGGGGAAAUGUUUUUCUCCUGAGAGCUAUUUCAGUCUAGUUGAAAAGAGAUAAUUUGGUCUUGCAGUAAUCAUGGUGUUUCCAGUAGUCAUGGUGGAUCUGUUGGACAUGUCAGGGGGCCUCCCUGUGUGGUGAUGGGGAGAUUUGAGUGUCCUGUGCUGGCUUCUCUGGCUUUGCCAUGUGGCUCUCUUUCUGCCAACCUUCUUGUACAUUUCAGUUCUCAAGGAAGCUGCUUGAAGUAGAAGCUGUGGGCUUGGUCCCUGGCCAGCUGGCCUUCUGUGACCUUCCACAUUGGCCCUGUGCUGGGACUUGUGGGCUCUCCCCCUACCCAGACGUAGGGGGUGGCCAGCUCAGUGCAGAGGCCAGUUUGUCCCCCAGAGUCACCAGCAGUUCCAGGCACAAGGUAAUAAUGCCCACACAUUAGGUACAUGCUGGACCCCCGGUUUCUCCUGAGUUCCCCUCCACAGCUCAGUGCCCCUGCGGACCAGAGCAAGGGCGGAGAGAGUGGGCUGGGAAUGACCAGUGUUCACAGAGCCUGGACCCCAAGGCAAGUGAAAGGGAAGCAGUGAGGGACCUGGAUGAGGGGCAGGUCGAGAGCUCUGGCGGUGAUGGGUGAGGGCAGGUAGGAGCCAGGGACAUGGCCCCUCGGGACAGAGAGGACAAGGGGUCCAGAGGCAGAGGCAGGACAUGACAUGUCUUCUUGCUGACUCUGGCACCCCAUGCCUCUUUGAGCCUCAGUCUCCCUCCUUCCAGUCUGUGAAAUGGGCCUAAGGGAAAUGUUCAUCUCCCAGAUAUGUUUAUGUAGAAAAAGGAAGCAGUUGGCAAUGGCAAAGCACUCUUCCCAUCUCCUUUGGCCAACCUCCCAGAAGAACACACCCCUGUUACUGCAUAGGAUGCAGGCCUGUGUGUGCCCAGCUGGCCUCGAGGUUGCCUGAGCCCAUGUCCAGUGUGCUCUGCCAAGAGGGCAUCGUUCAUCCAGGAGGGGCAUCAGAAGAUGUGUGGAUCAAGUGGGGUUCAAGGCACUUCCUGUCUCCUUGCCCACCUGUGUGGUCUUGGGGUAUAAGGGCUGUGUCUGAGGAUGCUUUGGGAUGGUCACGCUUAGAUGCACCAUCCUCCACAGCACAGCAGCCUCUCCUGGAGCCUCUGCCACGGCUGACUUCACACAUCACAGAAUGCGUCUGCUGUGUGGCCCUGCCUGCUGUUGGCAAGGUUGGACAGGGUGUGGGUGCCCUGGGAGGGUUGGGCCGCACAGUUCUCCAAGGUCAGAGGUCGGGGAGAAAGGGCUUCUUGGUGGCAGCCCACUCUCUGCCCCCGCCACGGAGUGCCUGGUCCCCAGGACCCGGCAACUCACCCUUCCAGGACCCUGUGGUGGGAGAGCAUGGCGCUUGGUCUUGGGGUUGCAUCAUGGUGGGUCUGGUACCUAAAUCUCAGUAAAACUGAACAGGUGUCCUGAAGCACUGAGGACAUGGAGUUGGUUAUUAUUAGAAGAAACUAGAACAUUCCUCAGGAUCUACCUGGGCAGAGGUUCCCAAACUUACUCAGAUCAUGGCAUCCUUGAUGUCUCCUUAAUUUUACAGCAUCUUUAGGGCAAAAGAAAUACCUAACAGUUUUGCUUAUUAAAUAGGGCUGUUGAAGUUUCCAGUUGUGGCUCAGUGGAUUAAGAACCCAACAUAGUCUCUGUGAGGAUGUGGGUUCGAUCCCUGGCCUCACCCCGUGGGUUAAAGAUCAGGCAUAGCCGUGAGCUGUGAUCACAGAUGCAGCUGGGAUACAGCAUUGCUGCGGCUGUGGCAUGGACCAGCAGCUGCAGCUCGCAUUCAGCAGACUCCUAGCCUGGGAACUUCCAUAUGCCACAGGUGCAG
This 6025-nucleotide long non-coding RNA is filed under the name Sus scrofa (pig). RNAcentral describes it as "lncRNA (ENSSSCG00025010347.1)". The record is from RNAcentral. Lineage: Eukaryota; Metazoa; Chordata; Mammalia; Artiodactyla; Suidae.